This 266-nucleotide unclassified non-coding RNA is filed under the name uncultured fungus. Its description in RNAcentral is "sequence contains ITS1, 5.8S rRNA gene". The stretch from base 218 to 266 matches the Rfam family "5.8S ribosomal RNA", at positions 1 to 49 of the family's 154-position model. The record is from RNAcentral. Lineage: Eukaryota; Fungi.
UUUCCGUAGGUGAACCUGCGGAAGGAUCAUUAACGAGUUUUGAAACGAGUUGUAGCUGGCCUUCCGAGGCAUGUGCACGCUCUGCUCAUCCACUCUACCCCUGUGCACUUACUGUAGGUUGGCGUGGGCUUCUUAACGGGAGCAUUCUGCCGGCCUAUGUAUACUACAAACACUUUAAAGUAUCAGAAUGUAAACGCGUCUAACGCAUCUAUAAUACAACUUUUAGCAACGGAUCUCUUGGCUCUCGCAUCGAUGAAGAACGCAGC